CCUACGAGUGGCAGCAGUAGGGAAUCUUCCACCAUGGACGAAAGUCUGAUGGAGCAACGCCGCGUGAGUGAAGAAGGGUUUCGGCUCGUAAAGCUCUGUUGGUAGUGAAGAAAGAUAGAGGUAGUAACUGGCCUUUAUUUGACGGUAAUUACUUAGAAAGUCACGGUUAACGACGUGCCAGCAGCCGCGGUAAUACGUAGGGGGCAAGCGUUGUCCGUAUUUAUUGGGCGUAAAGCGAGGGCAGGCGGUUCAAUAAGUCUGAUGUGAAAGCAUGCGGCUCAACCGGAGAAUUGCAUCAGAAACUGUUGAACUUGAGUGCAGAAGAGGAGAGUGGAACUCCAGGUGUAGCGGUGGAAUGCGUAGAUAUAUGGAAGAACACCAGUGGCGAAGGCGGCUCUCUGAUCUGCAACUGACGCUGAGGCUCGAACGCAUGGGUAGCGAACAGGAUUAGAUACCCGAGUAGUC
This 465-nucleotide ribosomal RNA is filed under the name uncultured bacterium. RNAcentral describes it as "partial 16S ribosomal RNA". It matches the Rfam family "Bacterial small subunit ribosomal RNA", at positions 338 to 795 of the family's 1533-position model. The record is from RNAcentral.